Molecule: ribosomal RNA, 506 nt
Filed under: uncultured bacterium
Lineage: Bacteria
Description: partial 16S ribosomal RNA
Rfam family: Bacterial small subunit ribosomal RNA
Source: RNAcentral
AGUGAACGCUGGCGGUAGGCCUAACACAUGCAAGUCGAACGGCAGCACAGGAAAGCUUGCUCUCUGGGUGGCGAGUGGCGGACGGGUGAGGAAUACAUCGGAAUCUACUCUGUCGUGGGGGAUAACGUAGGGAAACUUACGCUAAUACCGCAUACGACCUACGGGUGAAAGCAGGGGACCUUCGGGCCUUGCGCGAUUGAAUGAGCCGAUGUCAGAUUAGCUAGUUGGGGGGGUAAAGGCCCACCAAGGCGACGAUCCGUAGCUGGUCUGAGAGGAUGAUCAGCCACACUGGAACUAAGACACGGUCCAGACUCCUACGGGAGGCAGCAGUGGGGAAUAUUGGACAAUGGGCGCAAGCCUGAUCCAGCCAUACCGCGUGGGUGAAGAAGGCCUUCGGGUUGUAAAGCCCUUUUGUUGGGAAAGAAAUCCAGCUGGCUAAUACCCGGUUGGGAUGACGGUACCCAAAGAAUAAGCACCGGCUAACUUCGUGCCAGCCGCCGCAGUAA